GAUGAACGCUGGCGGAAUGCUUUACACAUGCAAGUCGAACGGUAGAGGGGGCAACCCCUCGAGAGUGGCGAACGGGUGAGUAAUAUAUCGGAACGUGCCCAGUCGUGGGGGAUAACGUAGCGAAAGUUACGCUAAUACGGCAUACGAUCUACGGAUGAAAGCGGGGGAUGGCAAGACCUCGCCCGAUUGGAUGGGCCGAUAUCCGAUUAGGUAGUUGGGGGGGUAAAGGCUCACCAAGCCAACGAUCUGUAGCUGGUCUGAGAGGACGACCAGCCACACCGGAACUGAGACACGGUCCAGACUCCUACGGGAGGCAGCAGUGGGGAAUUUUGGACAAUGGACGCAAGUCUGAUCCAGCCAUUCCGCGUGCAGGAUGAAGGCCCUCGGGUUGUAAACUGCUUUUGUACGGAACGAAAAGGUUUCCAUUAAUACUGGGAGCUCAUGACGGUACCGUAAGAAUAAGCACCGGCUAACUACGUGCCAGCAGCCGCAGUAA
This 496-nucleotide ribosomal RNA is filed under the name uncultured bacterium. RNAcentral describes it as "partial 16S ribosomal RNA". It matches the Rfam family "Bacterial small subunit ribosomal RNA", at positions 28 to 523 of the family's 1533-position model. The record is from RNAcentral.